RNAcentral lists this ribosomal RNA (490 nucleotides) under uncultured bacterium. RNAcentral's name for it is "partial 16S ribosomal RNA". It matches the Rfam family "Bacterial small subunit ribosomal RNA", at positions 30 to 507 of the family's 1533-position model. The record is from RNAcentral.
AUUGAACGCUGGCGGCAGGCCUAACACAUGCAAGUCGAACGGUAACAGGAAACAGCUUGCUGUUUCGCUGACGAGUGGCGGACGGGUGAGUAAUGUCUGGGAAACUGCCUGAUGGAGGGGGAUAACUACUGGAAACGGUAGCUAAUACCGCAUAACGUCGCAAGACCAAAGAGGGGGACCUUCGGGCCUCUUGCCAUCGGAUGUGCCCAGAUGGGAUUAGCUAGUAGGUGGGGUAACGGCUCACCUAGGCGACGAUCCCUAGCUGGUCUGAGAGGAUGACCAGCCACACUGGAACUGAGACACGGUCCCGACUCCUACGGGAGGCAGCAGUGGGGAAUAUUGCACAAUGGGCGCAAGCCUGAUGCAGCCAUGCCGCGUGUAUGAAGAAGGCCUUCGGGUUGUAAAGUACUUUCAGCGGGGAGGAAGGGAGUAAAGUUAAUACCUUUGCUCAUUGACGUUACCCGCAGAAGAAGCACCGGCUAACUCCGUG